Long non-coding RNA from Zonotrichia albicollis (white-throated sparrow), 354 nucleotides. The record is from Ensembl. NCBI's taxonomy places the organism in Eukaryota, Metazoa, Chordata, Aves, Passeriformes, Passerellidae.
CAAGGGAUGGUGUCCCUGUGCUGGUGGAAAUGGCUUUGUGGCAGCAUGAUGGAGAAGUGCUGUCACCUUACAGCAAAGCCUUGCCUUUGGGGGACGCUUCUGGAGCCUCAUCAUCGAUUCCCAGGAACAUGGCAGAGCUCAGGAUUUGAAAUGCAGAAGCAGAAAGGAUUUGAAAUGCAGAAGCAGAAGGGAGCAGCAGGCGCUCGGAGCCCUCUCACUGCUGGGAACCAGUUCAGCAAACAGGAUUUUCCAGCUAAACGCUGCGGGCUCUUUGAACCCCGGCGAUUUUUGCUUUUUGUCUCCCGAGGGAGGAUGAGGAACACCUUGUUCUGGGUAAGUGUCACCCUUUGUUCU